GAACGGGUAUUAGCUUGCUAAUACUGUCAGCUAAGUGGCGCACGGGUGAGUAAUAUAUAGGUAAUGGUGCCCUAGAGAGGGGGAUAACAGUUGGAAACGACUGCUAACACCCCAUAUGCCUUUAAAACAUAAGUUUGCAAGGGAAAUAUUUAUAGCUCUAGGAUCGGCCUGUACGGUAUCAGCUAGUUGGUGAGGUAAUGGCUCACCAAGGCAAUGACGCCUAACUGGUUUGAGAGGAUGAUCAGUCACACUGGAACUGAGACACGGUCCAGACUCCUACGGGAGGCAGCAGUGGGGAAUAUUGCACAAUGGGGGAAACCCUGAUGCAGCAACGCCGCGUGGAGGAUGACACAUUUCGGUGCGUAAACUCCUUUUAUAUAGGAAGAUAAUGACGGUACUAUAUGAAUAAGCGCCGGCUAACUCCGU
This 426-nucleotide ribosomal RNA is filed under the name uncultured bacterium. RNAcentral describes it as "bacterial SSU rRNA". It matches the Rfam family "Bacterial small subunit ribosomal RNA", at positions 64 to 506 of the family's 1533-position model. The record is from RNAcentral.